GAUGAACGCUGGCGGCGUGCCUAAUACAUGCAAGUCGAGCGAACAGAUAAGGAGCUUGCUCCUUUGACGUUAGCGGCGGACGGGUGAGUAACACGUGGGUAACCUACCUAUAAGACUGGGAUAACUUCGGGAAACCGGAGCUAAUACCGGAUAACAUUUGGAACCGCAUGGUUCUAAAGUGAAAGAUGGUUUUGCUAUCACUUAUAGAUGGACCCGCGCCGUAUUAGCUAGUUGGUAAGGUAACGGCUUACCAAGGCGACGGUACGUAGCCGACCUGAGAGGGUGAUCGGCCACACUGGAACUGAGACACGGUCCAGACUCCUACGGGAGGCAGCAGUAGGGAAUCUUCCGCAAUAGGCGAAAGCCUGACGGAGCAACGCCGCGUGAGUGAUGAAGGGUUUCGGCUCGUAAAACUCUGUUAUUAGGGAAGAACAAAUGUGUAAGUAACUGUGCACGUCUUGACGGUACCUAAUCAGAAAGCCACGGCUAACUACGUG
RNAcentral lists this ribosomal RNA (497 nucleotides) under uncultured bacterium. RNAcentral describes it as "partial 16S ribosomal RNA". It matches the Rfam family "Bacterial small subunit ribosomal RNA", at positions 28 to 507 of the family's 1533-position model. The record is from RNAcentral.